RNAcentral lists this unclassified non-coding RNA (318 nucleotides) under uncultured fungus. RNAcentral's name for it is "partial internal transcribed spacer 1". Lineage: Eukaryota; Fungi. The record is from RNAcentral.
GCUCAAUACCAAGCUCCCGGCUAUAGGCCUGGCACUUUUCAAAAUCUGAGCCAUCACCAAUAAUAUGUAGCUGCCAUUCCCCUGUCGUACGAGCUAAGCCAUCAAAUAAAUCUUUAACUCUUUUCUGCCCUUCAAAUUUAAGACGCCCUACAUAGAGAAAUACAGCGGGUUUAUCGCGCUCAGGCGGCGGCACAAUGAUUGUUUUAAUAGAGACAGGAUUGUAAACGACGCUAAUAUCUUGCUCUGAGAUCCCCCGUGCCACCAUCUGUUCUUUAAUACCACUACUGAUGGCCAGAUGAUAAUCCGCGUACGUUAUAC